UGUUAGGGGUAAAAGUGACUGUUGUUAAUCUUGAGGUGAGUGUGAUCAAACCAGACACACGAUAAAGGAAAUCUGUGAAGAUGUGAACAAGUUUUUAAAGGAGUGGGGCUAGUAAACACCCCUGUGGGUCCCCAGUGCUAAUAUCUAAAGGUUCAGAGAAUUUGUUCUUAAGUUUUAACCACCUGAAAGAGUUUGUUAUUCAGCCUGGGUGAAGGGUGAUCAAUAAACACACACCUUGCAUUUGUGCCAGAGGCCUCUAGGUGUUGGAGUGCAGACACAGUGAAACUGCAUCAUCAGCAGACCUGUCUGCUCCAUAUGCAAACUGAUGAGGCUCUGGGACAACACUGGAGAGACGGUUACAAACUGGGCGUUUGGUGAUUUUCAUGGUAACAGACGUCAAAGCAGCAGAUCCGUGGUCACCCAGACGGCUCGGGCUGGGUUUCACAGGCACAAUCACCUGACACACUGCUUUGUGUUAAAUUUUAAUUUUUUAAUUCCAUGUGUUCACUGUAAGAGCAGAUUUAUCUUUAUCAUACUGGUUACACAAUAUUAUACAUUUAAAAUGAAACUUUUAACACGCAGCACAACCUCAGCUCCUCAGCAAUUUCUGGACGAACUGAUCUCUGAUACAUUUAUGUGUUUCAGUUCGUUGUAACACUAACACUAACUUUAUCUUUGAUACUUUUAUAUGAUUAGCCAUUGUUCCAAAGAUAACUUUCUCGUCACAUUUAACACUCACAGUCGAGACUGACUGUGCUCAAAGCCAGAGGUGAAUUCCUUCCCCCAUCCAGUUACAAUCUAUCCUUAAAGUACGACGGCUAUCUGUGAGAGUUUUGGUCACACUCACCAGAUGCAUGAGCUCUGUCCUCUCAACUGAGAAUUGAUUGACUCUGUUUUGCUUUAUAAUUGUACUCUAUCAUUUUAUUACAUAUAUGAAAGACAACUGCUUGUUUUAUUAUCAUUUACUUGUUUGUUUCCACAACAUUCAUCAAGCCAAAUUAAAAGAGGAAAAAAAUGGCUCCUCUGGGAGCUUUGCCAAUCAAAAAACAAACGUCAGCCCUUCACACUGGAAUUACUGGCUUUGAUUGUAAUUUAUGUGCCGAUCAGUGGCUUGAGGGCAGGAAUGUUAUCAAAUUAAUAAAGGACACAUUAUAAAAGCAGCAAAGAUCAGUUUUUAGUUCUUUUGAAUAAGAUAGUCACACAAGGAACUAAGUCCUGGCUCUUGAAAUGAACAGAGAAAGAAGAAAAGCUGAGAAUCAGAUGAGGGCUGGAGACAGAGGACAGUGGGCCAGUAAAACUGAAUAUGUUCUGGUUGUUGCAGGAAACGUGGUCGGUCUGGGGAACGUGUGGAGGUUUCCUUACCUCUGCUACAAGAACGGAGGAGGGGCCUUUCUGGUGCCGUACUGUCUGUUAGCUGUGGUGUGUGGGAUACCUCUGUUUCUGCUGGAGACUUCAGUCGGUCAGUACACCCAGGAAGGAUUCAUCACCUGCUGGAGGAAACUGUGUCCACUGGCACAAGGGAUAGGAUACGGACAUUUCGUGAUGAAACUUUAUGACUUCAUUUACAUUAUAAUCCAAGUCUGGGCUCUGUUCUACCUGGCGUCUUCAUUCACAUCCAAGCUCCCCUGGGCCAGCUGUGACAACACCUGGAACACAGUGAACUGUGUGGGUCUUCAGAGUUUGUCAAAUGAGACUGUAAAUCACACCAUGUUGACCAACACCACCUCUGCUGCUACUGAGUUCUGGGAACGGAGGGUGCUGGUCGUGUCUGGAGGUAUCGAGGAGCUGGGCAGUGUGAGAUGGGAGCUGGCUCUGUGUCUUCUGCUCUGCUGGGUGUUCUGCUACUUCAGCAUCUGGAAAAGCAUCAGAUCCUCUGGAAAGGUUGCAUACUUCACCGCCACUUUCCCCUACGCCAUGCUCCUCAUACUGCUCAUCAGGGGACUGACUUUACCUGGAGCAUGGGAAGGAAUCUACUUCUACCUGUACCCAGACUUGAACCGCCUGGCUAACCUUGAGGUCUGGAUAGAAGCAGGCUCUCAGAUAUGCUUCUCCUACAGCGUGGCUAUAGGAACUCUAAGUGUUUUAGGCAGCUAUAAUGAGUACAACAACAACUGUUACAGGGACUGCUUUUGGCUCUGUCUGCUGAACAGUGGGACCAGUUUUGUUGCUGGAUUCGUUGUCUUCUCUGUCCUUGGAUUCAUGGCUCAGAAACAGGGUGUUGCUGUCAACACUGUAGCUGAGUCAGGUCCAGGUCUGGCCUUCAUUGCCUACCCUCAGGCUACAGCCAUGAUGCCUUUACCACAGUUCUGGACCGUCUGCUUCUUCCUGAUGCUCAUCUUCCUCAGUGUCGACACUCAUUUUGUGACAGUCGAGUGUUUUAUCGCCUCAAUAAGCGACUUGUUUCCGAAGCACUUACGUGCACCGGGACGGUCUGAAAUCUUUGUCCUCCUCAUCUGUUUGUUCUUCUUCCUCACACAUCUGACCUUGGUCACUGAGGGAGGGAUUUACAUAUUCCAGCUUAUUGAUUAUUAUGGUUGUACCAGAGCUUGUCAUUAUUUUAUGGCUUUAUCUCAGUGUCUGGCUCUGGCCUGGGGUUUUGGUGCUGAGCGUGUUAUUGACGUCAUCGAGGACAUGACAGGACAGAGGCCAUGUGCUUUCUUCAAACUGUGCUGGAAAUACAUCAUCCCUCUGCUGACACCGAUUUCCUUUAUCCUGUACCUGGUUGGUUACACACACCUCAAGAUUAACGACCGAUACGUUUACCCUGCCUGGGCGUACAGACUGGGAUGGACCAUGACUCUCUCCUCUGUUCUCAUGGUGCCACUGUGGGCAGCUGGACAGAUGUGUUUGACAGCAGGAACCUUCAGAGAGCGUUUGCACAUCCUUUGUCGACCCGCUGAAGAUCCAGCCCAGCAGAGAAGAUAAACAGGAGAGGAGGAGGAGGAGGAGGAGGUGACUGUGGAACUGAGGACGUCUGCAGUGACGACUUCAAAUUCCCUGAAAAGUCACAUUAACUACAAACUUGAGUUAUUAGGUCAAUUAUAAACAAGUAAAAAUGUUGGUUACUUCUCACUUCUGUCUUCAAAGUUAUUGAUUAUCUUUAAUUUGAGGUUUUCUGUUUCCUUUAUCUCGUCAGAAUCUGUUUUCUUCUUGUGUUCUUAGUUCAGUCAAUGCCAGCUCUCUUGCUCUAUUUAAUCAUCAACGUUAGAGUAUCUUGUCCAAACAAGACAUUUUUUCUUCCUGUUCCUUCCUCAUUCCAGGGUUUUCUGACCAAUCUUUCCUUUUCCAAAUUGAGGCUCUAAGGGUCUUGAGACUGAAAUGUAAUGUUUGACGUGACCUGUAUAAAUAAAACUGACUUGACUUAA
RNA transcript from Lates calcarifer (barramundi perch), 3365 nucleotides. It is a transcript of the gene named sodium- and chloride-dependent GABA transporter 3-like, with no coding region annotated. NCBI's taxonomy places the organism in Eukaryota, Metazoa, Chordata, Actinopteri, Centropomidae. The transcript has 15 exons. The record is from RefSeq and is a predicted model, not a curated record.